This is a long non-coding RNA of Ctenopharyngodon idella (grass carp), 2196 nucleotides long. RefSeq lists it as uncharacterized. The transcript has 4 exons. Lineage: Eukaryota; Metazoa; Chordata; Actinopteri; Cypriniformes; Xenocyprididae. The record is from RefSeq and is a predicted model, not a curated record.
AUCUUGGGACACCAGUUUGUCCUGCCAUCCUCAUGCACAGCCCAAACCCCCAUACAUGAUGAUUCAUGCUCUGUUUUCUCUCGAAACAGCUCAGCAUCCUGGCAUUGUGAGGGCGGCCUAAACCUCAGGCCGAAAGAAGCAUGAAGACCGUAGAUGUGGAUUUUCCCGGGUGGUCGAAGAGAUGUCUGUCACCAUGCCAGAAAAUGAUUUCUGCUCAUGACAGCUCAUUUCCAGCCUGCUGUUUAUUUGUUCUGCUGUGUUUUUUUUUUUUUUUUGGCUGGGUAAUUUACCCCAGAUCAGUGCUCUUAAAGUUAACUGACCCCCCUUUCACCUGUCUUGUCCCAGGGACUUUUAACACCUCGGAUUUUAGCAUCUCACAACGGAAAGCUAUUGAUGAGCCACUAAAAGGAUUAGUAGCAUUAAGGGUAACUGUAUUCAGAUAUGACUAAUGCCCGAGCAGGACCCGCAGGAUUGAGAGGUGUUAAGUCAAAUCGUUCAAUAAGGCCUCCAUUAAUCCCCCUUCAUAGACAGCAGCAGAAUCAGACCAAGUCAUGCCUGGAAACCAAGUUUGGAAAUAGAUAAUAUUCGUGCUCAUACUAUACUUUUACUCUAAAAAAUGUUGCAUUGUUUUUUUUAACCCAAAUGCUGGGUUCAGCCUGCUGGGUAAUUUUAUUGGGUUAUUUUUAUUUUUAUUUUUUUUUACCCAUGUGCUGGGUCACUCUGAAAAUGCUGGGUUGGUUAUUUAUUUAUUCAUUUUAACCCAAAUGGUGGGUUCAGCCUGCUGGGUAAUUAUACUGGGUUAUUUUUAAUAUUUUUACCCAGCUGCUGGGUCAUUUUUAAUGUCAAUGAACCCCCUCACAUACCUACCCAGCACUGGGUAAAUGUAACCCCAUGUUGGGUAGUCUGUGCCAAACCGGUUAAAACUGGAAUUUAACGGUCAUUUUGUUUUGUGUUCUGAGAGAAAACUUCCUGAGGGGAAAUUCCUGAAUGAAAUUAUGGUUUGCAUAACAUUGUAUUACUAUCAAAUUAUUACUGUACAAAGAGGAAAACGUCUGUAGUCUCACAUUUUACCUUUUUUUGUUUACAUGUACGCCGCAGGCCUACGAACGUUAGCCUUCUACAAACGCAGCUUACACCGGAUCUACAAACGACGCGCCGGCGCCACCUAUGGCAGUUUCACGGCCGUCAAACGAAUGCGCGACCAGGGCUAAAUCACGACGCGACAUCGCUGUUAUAUGUAACAAAGUUGCUGUGCGCUCCACUGACUUUAAUAGGAGCACUGUUGGUCUAGUGCGCUAGCGUUGCAGCUGUGGUCGGGUCGCGCGAUGCGUUUGACGGUUGAAAUGCUUGACAGAUGAAGAUUCCCGUGGCAUUCACAACAUCACCGAUCCAUUCCGGACAACUGGAGGAUGGCUGUGAUGUUGCAGUCAUAAGGAUAAAGGGCCGGCCGUCACAGGGGCUUUUAUAGACGAUGGAUGUCACAAGUGUCAGACUAAAUAAACGGAGGGCAGCGCUGCUUAUUUGUAUGGCGUUAACAGGCGCGCAAAACCCCAAAGAGCCACGAAAGAGCCGGGCCGCCACCCAACAAGCAGGAGCAAUAUCCCUCUGACUGACGCUCUUGUGAUUGCGGUAGUAGCGGCGUAAACGCCACCUGUCUCCUCUCCUCUCUGUUCCUCUUUUUGAAACACCAGUUCCACUCAGUCUCACAGGCUCUCUGUUGUCCUCUUCGGUUAUUCCCUGAAUCAAACUCCUCCAAUGGCAUCAUCUAAUAAAAGCUACCGGCGUGCUACCUCUCUCCUUCCUAAAAAAACAAGACUUCAUUAUUAGAUUGAAUGCAUGAGUUGGAUGUCAGCUGACAUCUUUGCCUCCAUCUUAAAUGCUAAAACACAGAGCUGGUGUGACAAAUGAGACACAGAGCAGAGCUCGAUGUAACUAUGAAAAUGGCUGUGCACUUUUUCUCUUUAGAGUGUAUUUCUAAUAUUUUAGGGCUAUAUUUAUUUGUGUUUUCAAUUGACUGAUAUUAAUGAAAUAUUGCAGACAUAAAAUAUAACUUGGUCUAAGAAAAUCUAACUUAAAUAUUAUUCAUUAAUCUAAAUGUAUUUAUUUAUUUAUUUAUUUACCUUUUUAUUUUCUUUUAUUAAGCUAUAUGUAUUGGUGUUUCUGAAUGAUUUCAUCUGAGUGGAAAUAAUGUCAAUA